This 84-nucleotide transfer RNA is filed under the name bacterium. RNAcentral describes it as "tRNA-Leu". It matches the Rfam family "tRNA". Rfam says of the family: Transfer RNA (tRNA) molecules are approximately 80 nucleotides in length. Their secondary structure includes four short double-helical elements and three loops (D, anti-codon, and T loops). The record is from RNAcentral. RNAcentral also lists the same sequence under 3 other names.
GCCCGGAUGGCGGAAUUGGCAGACGCGCUACAUUCAGGGUGUAGUCUUCGCAAGGGGGUGCAGGUUCAAGUCCUGUUCCGGGCA